UCCUUGCAUUUUCCUAUAGAUUUCCAGAGAAUAUCAUUUUAAUUUAGCAACAGCUAUAGCACAUUUUAAACCACAAAAGCAUCAGCAGUAUGAUCUGGGAUAUUUUCUUUCCUGGUGGAGGAGAUUGCUUGGGUUUAUUUUUCUAAAAACUGUGUCAGAGAAGCAUAACUAGCCACAUCAGCAGCUCUCUCUCUGCCCUUUACAUAUGACCCACUGAGCUAUUUUUUAUUUUCUCUCCCUCCCUUUGCAAUUUUAUUCUCUCCCAACACUUCUAAUGAUUUCCUUUCUUCAGCAUCAUGCAGCAUGCAGAGCUGGGCAUGGCAUUAGGGGACACAGCAUGAGCAGAGAAGAGAGCAUGGGUCUUGCUAGCAGAAUGAUCUGAUGGGAAUUUUGUCUCUGAUGUUGUUUUAUGUCUUUGUGCAAGUUCCUUAACCUCUCUGAAUAUAGUCUGCUAAAGAAUAAAGCGAAAAUCAGCAAUGACAUGUGUAAAGUGACCUGCAGAGAGUGGACUGUGAUAAGCACUAAAUGGUUGGUGAAAGACACCCAGUUCAGUACUGGAGUUCCCCAUAGACCAGAUCCUGAGGUUAUAGGAGGUUGACAUGUCCAGAGAGAUGCUGCUGGGUGGCUGGCACAUGCCUGUUGUGGCUUCUUGGUUAAAUUCUUCUCUUCAAUGCCACUUCCCUAUAGAGAAGGCUGAUAGCGUACUUGCAGGAUCCUAUACUCCAUAUCACUUUCCACAAAAAUGAAUCAAAAUCUAUUUGGGUAAUUAUUUAUCUUCCCCAUUUGAUGAUAAAUUCCUUUAAGGUGGGCACUAUGACUGUCUUCCUCAUGGUGGUGGCUUCAGCAGCUAAAUACUGAUUUGCCUAACACACAGUAGACCUGCACAAGUACUUGCUGGAUGAAAUGAAUCAACCAUUCAAAGAGUGAAGCGGGGGCAAAGACUGAAAUUGCAAUUCUGUUUGGAGGUGGUUCUGCUGAGAUUAUGACAUCUGUUUUUCACUGAGUACCAGGCUAGGCAAUUUAUAAUGCAUUACUAUAGCUCUUAUAGCGGCCACAGGAAACGGCAUCCUCUUGUACAGUGAUUUGAACUGAAGGAGGGAAGAUGCAGUUGGUGGGAGAGAUGGAGCCAGAAGGGUCCAUGUGGCCUCCUAGGCUGGAAUGCCACUGUAUAAGUAUUUGUGAUGCCUUUUAAAACACACUUUAGAUCUGAAGGGACCAACAGAAGCUCCUAAUGUAAGUACUGGCUUUGCUGCUACUUAAUCCUUUGAAUUGGUACUUUCCCUUUAUUUCUGGCCUCUGAGGAUUAUCAUUUCUUCUUCCUCAUUUAAUCAUAUUCACAUUUAAAAAUUACGUAUGUAUAUGUGUGUACAUAUAAUUCUCUGUAUGUUUAUGCAAUACAUAAAUAUUUGCCAGAUUUCAUAUUGUUUAUGUUUUCUCUGGGCAGCUUAUUCACAACACUGUUGCAAACUUAAAUCCAACUAGUUAAUCUUUAAAUUGCUGUAACUAUAGGGGCCAGGGAUUGGUUCCGCCACCUGCUUCGCAAGUGCAAGGACCCUAGUUUGAUCGCCGGUACCAAAAAAAAAGAAAAAUGCUGUAAGUACAAAUUUUUUUAUCAGGAUGGCAAGUGAAAAACUAAGAUAGAGCAUCACUGCCCCCUGGUGGGGAGACCUACUAUUACCACGUUGAAAUGAGCCCCAUGGCGUCUGGUACUGUUUCAUUUGAGUUUCUUCCGGUUUUUGCUAAAAUCCCUUGCUUUUGAAUUGGUCGCUUCUUUUAGUUACUGUUCUUCCCAUGUAUUUUCCUUGUUCCUAUUCUCUGAACCUACUUUACAAUUUUACAUUAAUUUUAUGAGUUCUGUAUCAAGUUCUUGCUUAUGAACAAAAAUUUCGGAACCAAUGACAGCAGCCUGAAUAGGGAUAAGAAUAAAGCAAAAGUCCAAGAAAUGUUGAAAAAAGUACUUAGCACAAUUUGCUAAAUGUGUCUGUGAGACAGCGUACGUACACAAGCUCCUAAGCUUUUUUUCCUUUCAUGACAGAUGGAUAAAUGACAUUUUCCAGCGUAGCUCUCCUCUGAGCUUACCCAGUUUUAAACUUAAAAAUUUAAAAAUGCAUACAUAGCCAAUAUAAAAAAACUUCAGAGUUCUACAAAUGAGUAACUAUACUGAUAUUUGGAGAAAGAGUUCAUUGUGGAACAAGAUAUAAAUAUGGAAUGGGGGGAAGCAAGAAAAAACCCUGGGGAAUUGGACUGGAACUGGAGAUCAUCAGUCAAAUUUGUGAGUUUUAACAUAUAGAUUUCACAGUUCUGUCAAAGGAGCCUAAAAUCAGUGACAGUUGAGGAGGCCCAGAUAUUAAGUGACUAAACAUUACUCUCCAUUACAGAAAAUAUAGGGUAUUCCUAAGAAUAAAGGUAUUUGUUGAGAGCAUUUCUACAUAAAUUUCAGGGAAAAAUAUUUCAUAAUUAAAGUAUGACUACAGCUGUCUAAGGCCCAAUGUUGCCUUGUCCAAGAGCCAGCUACGGCAUGGGAAAAUCAACUCGGUUUUGCCUCCAGUCACGGCUGAGGCCUCAAUGUUCUGUGAUGCUGUGAUACUCAAAGGCAAGAUUACACCAGCCGAAGACAUCCUGGUUCCUCGAGAACCCAGCAGUAACAUGAGAGAGAAAGGUUUUACCCAGAGAGGGAUGAGUUCCUUUUCAGCCCAACUCAUCCCACCUACUGUCCCGGGAAUGCUCUCCUUUCCACCCUCAUCACAGCAUAGAUUUGCAUCGACAUAGGGUCACCUCUGCCCCAAGUCACCGAGGUGCCUCCAAUUACUGUGUGUACCCAGUAAAUGCUGGCAGGAACGAGAGUCUCGGUCUUUGCCCACUCUGAGGCAAUGACCUCCCAGCCCCCAGAAACUUAUAUAUAUACACUUAUAGUUAGAGAAAUAAAUUAUUCCAGGGCUGAGGUAGGAGGAAAAACCCCCACAAAUCAAGGUGAAUGUAGAAUAUUCUGUGCUGGAAAAUAAGAAAUUGCUCUAAGAAUACGAACAUGUCAAAAAGACCUAGGAGCCACUUGAAAGAUCUGAUAGUGAAAUCUAGGACAAUUUGACAUGGAAACAAAUGACAGUAACAGACUGAAUAAUAUAGCAAUCUGUGAGUUUAUACUAAUAUAAAUGAGUGAGAAAGGUCUUCCUUACAGUAGAAUAAAUGCAGAAGAUAAAAUUGAAAAAUAUCGGCAUUUGGCAAACACAAGUAACAAUCCAUCCAAGAAGUAUAACUAUAUGUUAAAAUUGGUGUAUGAAAGUUUGUUGAGAAACAGAAUAUAGUCUCAAAAUAUCUUCCAGCAAGAUGUUUGUUAAUGUAACAGAAAAAUAAAACAAAUUCACAGUAGACAUCUAGAAGAUGCCACAAAACUGACAUCCUUGUAACAAGAUAAUGCCAUGAUACAAUGUAUUGAAAAGGACAGUGUCAUUUCCGUGGUAUUUCCUGCC
Fukomys damarensis (Damara mole-rat) is the source of this 3467-nucleotide long non-coding RNA. RefSeq lists it as uncharacterized. NCBI's taxonomy places the organism in Eukaryota, Metazoa, Chordata, Mammalia, Rodentia, Bathyergidae. The record is from RefSeq and is a predicted model, not a curated record. The transcript is spliced from 4 exons.